Molecule: long non-coding RNA, 5320 nt
Organism: Esox lucius (northern pike)
Lineage: Eukaryota; Metazoa; Chordata; Actinopteri; Esociformes; Esocidae
Source: Ensembl
CAGCUUUUAUAACUGUAAAUUUGCUGUCCCCUCAAAAUAACACAAUACAGCCAUUAAUGUCUAAACCGCUGGCAACAAAAGUGAGCAGCCCCUCCAAAUUGGGCCAAAAGUGUCAAUAUUUUCCAGCACUGCCUUAACCCUCUUGGGCAUGGAGUUCACCAGAGCUUCACAGUUUGUCACUAGAGUCCUCUUCUACUCCUCCAUGACAUCACAGCAGCUGGUGGAUGUUAGAGACCUUGCACUCCUCCACCUUCUGUUUGAAGAUGCCCCACAGAUGCUCAAUGCUCAGUUUCAGGGUUUGAGGAUUGCCCCACAGAUGCUCAGUUUCAGGGUUUGAGGAUUGCCCCACAGAUGCUCAGUUUCAGGGUUUGAGGAUUGCCCCACAGAUGCUCAGUUUCAGGGUGUUGGCAAUCUUCUUAUGGCCAUAGGCCAUCUUUAGAACAACAAUUCUUUUUUUCAGAUCCUCAGAGAGUUCUUUGCCACGAGGUGCCAUGUUGAACUUCCAUUGACCAGUAUGAGGUAGUGUGAGAGUGAUGACACCAAAUUUCACACAUACCGUCUCCCUAUUCACACAUUGUAACAACCUUGAGACCUUGUAACAAUGAGUCACAUGACAUCGGGGAGGGAAAAUGGCAAAUUGGGCCCAAUUUGGAAAUGUUCGCUUAGGGUUGUAUUCACUCACUUGUUGCCAGCGGUUUAGAUAUUGUGUGUUGAGUUAUUUUGAGGGGACAGCAAAUUUACACUGUUAUACAAGCUGUACACUCAUUACUUUACAUUGUAGCAGUGUCAUUUCUUUCGUGUUGUCACAUGAAAAGAUAUACUCAAAUAUUUACAAAGAUGUGAGGAGUGUACUCACUUUUGUGAGAUACUGUUCCUUGCUUAAGAACUUCACAUGCAUGACGCAAUUUGUAGAGUGCAGAGUGCUUGGACAAAAUUAGAGCAGUAAAAGCUGAUGUAAUAUCAUACUUGUAGUAUACGGUCUUGUAUACCAUGGCUAUCAGCAUUCAGGAUUUGAACUCAAACACUGUCUUUGUUUUAAAACACUUAACUGUAAGUUGCUCUGGAGAAGAGUGGGUGCUAAAUGACAAUGGAAAUGUGACUUAAAUCAUGAAUGUUAUAAUACAGGAUAAGCAUGCUCCCAAAGUGCUUCUGUUCCUGUGCCCCAGUGUUGAGGAGGCAUCUUUUCUUUGUCUUGCGAAGAGAACUCAAUGAAAAUUCUCUAUGGAGUGUCCUCCCUCAAUAUGUUGUUGGCAUUCCCACUAACUCCUGCCUUGACAGAAACUAGUGUCCCUGGGGCCAAAAAUCUAAACAUUUAAAAUAACAAUAUAAAAAGGUAAUUACAUUUUGCAGACACUCUUGUCCUGUUUGCACUCUGGGAGGAGGUCACUGUGCAGUUGUAAACCAUGAUGGACAUGUUGUGGAGCGGACUGGCCAUUCUGCAAAAGAAGAGCAGCUCAGUCUUGUUAAGGUUAAGCUUGAAGUGGUUGACUGACAUCCAAGAGAUUGUGGAUCGGGCAGAAGAUAUGUGACAACAAUGUUAAGCUCAAAUCGAAAGCACACAAUGACAGCAUGGAAUUCAAAAGAGGGUGAGGGACAUAUAAUCUCCAAUUUGAAGUAACAAGUAGCCCUACGAUGCCACUGAGGCAAUCCAGAUGCUCUUGGACUAUGGGGAAUCAUUCAGAUGAAGAGAUAGCAGCCACAGUAAGCAGUAUUCUCUUGGGAAAUCCAUGCCUUUUUGACAGCAGAUCGACAGGCCCAAACACUACUAGAUAGCAGGGCUGGGAACAAAAUAUUAGAAAGAUUGCAGCCAUGGGCUUGGGGGUGACUGUAGAAAUGACUAGGAGAUUCGGCGGGCAGGGAUAGGAAAGAGACACAGCACAAAACGGACAGCAUUCCUUUUUUAUAUCCUGGGAAAACAGGUAGGUUGUAGACCUAUUUGUCUGAGUAGUUAAAUACUAAAUCGGCCUGUAUGUAUUUCAGCAGUUAGUUUUAGCAGUUUUUUUUUCUACUAGCCAGUGGAGCGCAUAACAGGAUGUGGUCCAAAACUGAAAGCGUAUGAACUCUGUGCUUCUGUUUUAAACCUGCCCAUGUUCCAUCACUCGCAUCCUGUCUCAGGCUCUGCACUUCAUAUAUGUUGAAUGGUUCAGCACGGGUUCAUCUCUCAGCAUACAGUGUUUGGACACCCAUUUAUGGGUGAAUUUGUCCAAACAUUUGACUGGUUUUGUACAUUUCACUGUAAAUGGAGGGAAUCUGCUGCAUUCACUUCAAACUGCUGUUUUUCAGAGCAGGGGAUUAUUUACAGAAUCACCAGUUCGGCAGGUUACUCUGCUCUGAUUAAUUGGCUCUCCAUCUGUGGACCUUAAACUUUUUGUCUGUUCAUUAGUGGGUUUCUUCACCGAUGUUAACCUGCCAUGGUAGAACAAAUCAUUUCUGAACAUGUCUGAAGCUUAACCACACUCAUCUACACUGUACACCAGCUGUACCCCAGCUUCACCCCAGCUUCCUCUUUCUAUUUGUGUUCAAAACUUCCCUUGCAACAUUUUAAACAUCAUGCGUGAGGUAGUGAUUUGAUGUUUCUAUAAUCAAGUAACAUCUUCUCAGUUCUCUCCACCCACAGUAUAUCCCUCUAACGUUAUAGGUUUUGCACGCCCAUCUGUCAAGUUUCUGCAUCCACAUUCUUGUUUAAAAAAAGUGCCACUGCUCACACACGCCUAUCACCUCUUCCUGCCUGGUCGGGUUUUCUCUGCCUUUUGAAACCAUCAUUUAGGCUAUUCUGUAGCAAGGCUUUGAACUCUGGUAGCAAGCCACUAAAUGGAAGAAUUGCAUUUUGGGAGUUAAGGAUCCAGUCAGUAAUAAAUCUAUGUAUGGAUCAAUUCAAAUUUAAAACAAAUAUAUUUGCCCACACUGGGAUGUGACCUGGAUCCCUACUACGCCAACUUCUGAUUGAGCAGAGAUUUCUUCAACAUUCUUUCUGAGAACUAAGAGUAGUCAUGUCAAAAGUCAUAGACGAGACAUCCAAUAGUGUCGUCUGGACCCUUGUCAUAAUCCUGGUGAUCCUCGUUGUCCUCCUGGUCUACCUGUACAAGCGACUGAACCGCCAGACUAAUGACCAAUACACCAUCCACAACCUGGUCUAUGGGGAAGGUGGCGCCAGGGACAGGUUGAGGAACUGGAUCCGAGUCCUGGAGGUUCGGUUCGGCCGACGACUCUGGCUUCUCAACGAGAGUGAGGGGGCUGCCGGAGAGGACGAGAAAGACGAAGAGGAGGAUGUGGAACGGGCGAGCGUGGGAGGGGACAGCCAGGGAGGUGAUCAGGAGGGCAGAGGGGAUGAUUCCUCGGAUGACUACUCUAGCUUGGAGGGCUGUGACCUUAGGGAGAGAGUGAAGCUCGCAGAGGGGAAGGAGGAGAGGGGAGGGAGUGUGGGGAGCAAGCCGGAGACGAGUCGAGACGGCGGAGAGUGUGAGGAGGGAGCAGUGGGAGGACAAGAAAGUGGACGAGGAGGUUUGCUGGUAGAUCUGCACCCAUUCUCUGGUAGCGCCAUCUGGUCGGGCGAUAAGGGCGUGGGAGAUGGAAACAUGGAGGAUGUGACUGCAUUGUGAGGGACUGAAAAAAGAGGGGGGGGGGUACAGGUAUUAGCCAGAAUAAAGGAAACACCAACAUUGUCUUAAUAUGUUGUUGGGCAGCUUCAGUGUGAAGGGUGUCUGGAACUGUUGGAGGGAUACAGCACAAUUUUUCCAUGAGAAAAUUUGGAAUAAUUGUUAUUUGGUGUUUUUGUUGCUAGCGGGGGGGGGGGGGGGCUCCAGUGUCUCUCAUACAAUUUAGGAUGUAGGAAUUAUUUUUGGUAUCCGCUCAUGUGUUCGAUCUGUUGAGUUCUGGUGAUGGAGCUGGCCAUGGCAAAUGCUUUACAUUCGAUUUCCUGCUCAUCAAGUCUAUCACCUCUCGUGACCUUUGAAUGUGAGCAGUGUAAUCUGGAAAAAAAACACUUCCAUAAAGAGGAUGGAAAUGCUUCGCCAUCAGCAUGUCACCAUGUGACCCUAAGCUUGAUAGGGUGUUAACUGCUUAAUUAAACUCAGAGAUCCAGUUGCGUUUGUAAGCCCCUGUGUUAGAUGUUUUGUUGCUCCAAAAAAGAAUGCAAAUGAGGGCGCGCCCUACUGUAACAAUGUUAGAUGAGAGUGUCUGCAAAAUUACUUCAAUGUGAAAAUGUGUCCUGUGUUUUGUCAAGAGUUACCUUGAUGCCGGCGGUUGCCCGCAGCUCCAUUGUAUGCACAGUGGCAGUGCAUGACAGAACAUGCACUUUUGGUCAUCAUGCCCUUUACAAUUUGUCAUACUAAAAGACAUUACAAUAAUUCUGACCUUGAUGUUGUUUAAAAUAAUUGUGAGCAAAACAUUUUAAAUGGCUUUGCACUGUGCAUUUCAGCUGUGCAUUUUAUCUGCUUACACUAAUAUACUCUACACCUGUGUAUGUGUAUAGAUUCCUUCACAGACAGUUAUAAAGAUUUAAGAUCUGAGCAUGAGUGAAAACGACUGUAAAAUUAUUCCUUAGUCUGCUUUAAAUAUGCUUAUGUCAGACUAAGUGAGAGGAACAUGGGAUUUCCAUGCAGUUAUGUUAAAGUUGAACAUAUUAAUUCAAAUUGCUUGAUUAUUAUACUAUUGUACAACAAUCAAUGAUGUAUCCCAGACCACUCUGUAUUGUCCAAUGACUACAUAAGUAAUAUGUUAAGGAAUCCUCAUAGAAACUCACACACAUUCCUAGAAUAUAUUAUACAACAUAAACAAAUCGAAGGCAAGUCAAUAAAACACAAACUCAACACAGUAGACAAACGCAGAGGUUAUAAAAAGGUUAUUCUGCUCUGUCUGUAAACUCAUAUAAGUAACAAAGGAAAUUAUUUUAUUAGAUUAUAAUACGUUAAAAUAAUAUAUUGAGCAGAGUUGUUUUGAAAUGAUUGUUUUUGCAAACAUGUUUGUGAUGAUUUAUGAACAGCUAUUCAGGUAAUGCUUUACUUUGUUCUAUAAUGUUUCACCGGUAAAUCACUGUCAGAUAACAGGCUAAAACGUUUUAUCGUCUCCCAUUGCUGUAUUCAUUUACACGAUAGACCUACUGUACUAUAGUACACUCAUACCUUUAAGAAACUGAAAGAUAAACGUAUUUGCAUGUACAUGCUUAAUUUUUUAAAUAAACAUUUAAAAUCCAAAAAAUAUAUUUUGUAAACAUAUUGCUUUUUCUGUGGCCUGCAUAAUUAUUACUGUAAGCUAUAAUAAAUACUAUUUAUCAUUGCCAUUAAACAUGCCACUAUAUCCUUUAUAUACCAUUAUUACUGCC